CCGGAGCUUGCUCCACCGGAAAAAGAGGAGUGGCGAACGGGUGAGUAACACGUGGGUAACCUGCCCAUCAGAAGGGGAUAACACUUGGAAACAGGUGCUAAUACCGUAUAACAAUCGAAACCGCAUGGUUUUGAUUUGAAAGGCGCUUUCGGGUGUCGCUGAUGGAUGGACCCGCGGUGCAUUAGCUAGUUGGUGAGGUAACGGCUCACCAAGGCGACGAUGCAUAGCCGACCUGAGAGGGUGAUCGGCCACAUUGGGACUGAGACACGGCCCAAACUCCUACGGGAGGCAGCAGUAGGGAAUCUUCGGCAAUGGACGAAAGUCUGACCGAGCAACGCCGCGUGAGUGAAGAAGGUUUUCGGAUCGUAAAACUCUGUUGUUAGAGAAGAACAAGGAUGAGAGUAACUGUUCAUCCCUUGACGGUAUCUAACCAGAAAGCCACGGCUAACUACGUGCCAGCAGCCGCGGUAAUACGUAGGUGGCAAGCGUUGUCCGGAUUUAUUGGGCGUAAAGCGAGCGCAGGCGGUUUCUUAAGUCUGAUGUGAAAGCCCCCGGCUCAACCGGGGAGGGUCAUUGGAAACUGGGAGACUUGAGUGCAGAAGAGGAGAGUGGAAUUCCAUGUGUAGCGGUGAAAUGCGUAGAUAUAUGGAGGAACACCAGUGGCGAAGGCGGCUCUCUGGUCUGUAACUGACGCUGA
RNAcentral lists this ribosomal RNA (697 nucleotides) under Enterococcus sp. FBPers-11_16-28. RNAcentral describes it as "bacterial SSU rRNA". It matches the Rfam family "Bacterial small subunit ribosomal RNA", at positions 73 to 749 of the family's 1533-position model. Lineage: Bacteria; Bacillati; Bacillota; Bacilli; Lactobacillales; Enterococcaceae. The record is from RNAcentral. RNAcentral also lists the same sequence under 1 other name.